UAUUAAAAAUUUUAUCUAUUUAUACAGUUAAAAACUAGCGCGGCUGACGGAAUAACUAGACAUUGAUAUGUGUCGCACUACAUAUAUCUCAUACUAACGUAUAAAGACCAGUUUUUAAUAAUAAAAAUAAAUAAAAUUUUUAACG
This is a non-coding RNA of Gossypium hirsutum (cotton), 145 nucleotides long. NCBI's taxonomy places the organism in Eukaryota, Viridiplantae, Streptophyta, Magnoliopsida, Malvales, Malvaceae. The record is from Rfam.